Molecule: unclassified non-coding RNA, 1966 nt
Filed under: Caenorhabditis elegans
Lineage: Eukaryota; Metazoa; Nematoda; Chromadorea; Rhabditida; Rhabditidae
Description: Non-coding transcript of protein-coding gene srj-14
Source: RNAcentral
AUGUGUCUUGUGCGUCUGCGCGACUUUGGAGAAAAAGUAGACCAGCUCGAUAUGGAUAAGAAAAAUGAACUGAGGGAGUUUGAGAGAUCUUGUGAUUCUCUAAACACUUGCUUCUCUAGUCUCCGAUGCCGGCCAAAAUCCAAUGUGAAUGUGACAAGAUGAAUUGCUUCGUAUUGUUGAAAAAUAUUGCGAUGCUGUUGUGUACAUCUACGAGGAUUUUUCCAAAUGUAGUGACAAGCUCACCGAAAAAAAGUCAGAGUGUUUCGACAACUGGGACCCUCUUCCAAAUGGGAUUCAUACAGAAGAGGACGCAAAGAAGAUUCAGAAAAUGAGAGAAGAAGCAUGUAAGACAUAUUUCGGAAAAGAUGACUGCUUGAAGAAAGAGAUUACGGAAACAUGCGGUCAAAAAGAAUGGAAAAAAUUUCGUGAGCAUUUUGUCAAUCUUUCCUACCAAAUUGUUAGCAAAUGUGACUUCAGCCGAUUUGGAUGAGCAUGUGGAUUUUGUAAAAAAUGAACAAAUUAGUUUUGAUCAAACCCGGGAAAAUUGUAUUAACUAUUAACUACAAAGAAAAAAUAUGUUUCAGAAACUUGAAUUUGAGUUAACCUUCUCUUUGGAAGAAAAGUAUUAAAUUCCGAUUUGAUGAGAAAUUGAAAAAAUUGUAAUUGUAAAAAUAAAGGUAUGAUGAAGAAACAUGAGCCUCUUAUCUUUUUCAUCACAGCCUGGUUGUUUGAAACUACGUAACUGUACUAGUUGUUUGAUUUGUUUUUAAUUUAGUCUGUCUUCCGAGGGGCAUGCGGAAAUUAAUAUGGUUCUCUUAAAAACAAAUGGAGCUAUAGCUAUGUGUGCUCAUUCGUAUUUAUGUCUCACUUAGGUUAUUACGUUUUCAAUUUCUUUUCUUUUUUUUUCAGUUUAGAAAUUUUAAUUUUUUGAAUCUAACACAAAUUUCUCAAGUUUAGCAUGAAUAUAAGAUGGGCUCAUCGAUAUAUUCCCGCGGCAUUUGGAUAUUUGUCAUUCGUUUUAAAUCCCAUACUUGGCUACCUAAUUCUCACCGAGCCAAAAUCCGCAACAAUUGGAAAGUAUCGAUACUUAAUUUUGUUCUUUGCGGUGUUUGACAUGGUCUACUCAACAGUAGAGUUACUGGUACCACUGGGAAUGCAUGGAACUGGUUCAGCUUUUGUCACGUAUCUCGCUCAUGGACCAUUUUUUGGAAAAGAUACUAUUCGCCUUGCCCAGUUUGCAAUUUCUGUCAGAUGUGGUUUCAUUGCAUUGUCAUAUGGCAUUCUCAUCAUUCACUUCAUUUACCGCUACAUCGCUCUUUUCAGGCCUCAAUUAAUUGAUGACGUGUUCCGGCCGAUGGGAAUAUGUUGCAUGAUGACAUUUUUCCUGGCCCACGGAGUUGCAUGGACUGCCGUUUGCGAGCUGUGUCUGUACGCAAAUGAUGAAAUCAGGGACUACAUUCGAACGACUUUCAGAGAUGAGUAUGACGUCGACUCAUAUGACAUUGCUUUCGUGGCUGCACUUUACAUUGAUGGAAGCAAUGAAACAAAAAACAAAAGUUGGGCUGGGAUCUUUCUUCUUUUCAGCAUUUCUUCGUUCGCUGUUUCGUUUUAUUUAAUUCUGGGAAGAAAGAUCGUUGUCAAACUGAGAACUCAUACUGCACUCUCUCAACAAACUCGAAACAUGCACAGGCAGCUCUUCCUAGUUUUGGCAUUUCAAACAAUCAUCCCAGUUUGCAUCUGUUUUUCUCCUUGUAUGAUGGCGUGGAUUGGCCCAAUGUUCUACUUGGAUUUUGGAAUGUGGGACAACUACUUUGGGGUCAUCGCGUUUUCAGCUUUCCCAUUCUUGGACCCUCUUGCUAUAAUCUGCCUGCUUCCGAACUACAGAACUCGUAUAACCGGUGCAUCCGUUUUCACAUCAGUUUCUCCAGUGAUGCCAAUCAGUACUGUUCCACCUGUUUUAAAUUAA